This 213-nucleotide long non-coding RNA is filed under the name Phoenix dactylifera (date palm). RNAcentral describes it as "long non-coding RNA (PDAC_LNC017637)". The record is from RNAcentral. Lineage: Eukaryota; Viridiplantae; Streptophyta; Magnoliopsida; Arecales; Arecaceae.
GAAGACUCGGAACUUGAUACAUCAAUGGAUCCGACUCCACAUGGGAGGUCAUCUGCAGCUGCAUCCUAGCCUCUUGAACGACCUCGAGGAGCUCUUCUUCGAUAUGCAAUUGUAUCCGACUGGCCUAUAUCAGACGGCCUACCGUGGUCCGUAUCUUGUGUAGCAUGUGUAAACUAAGACUCACCGGUGUAUCGAAAAUCUUCCUCCGGCUGU